RNAcentral lists this ribosomal RNA (283 nucleotides) under uncultured bacterium. RNAcentral's name for it is "partial 16S ribosomal RNA". It matches the Rfam family "Bacterial small subunit ribosomal RNA", at positions 356 to 632 of the family's 1533-position model. The record is from RNAcentral.
GGGGAAUAUUGCACAAUGGGCGCAAGCCUGAUGCAGCCAUGCCGCGUGUGUGAAGAAGGCCUUCGGGUUGUAAAGCACUUUCAGCGAGGAGGAAGGGUAGUGUGUUAAUAGCACAUUGCAUUGACGUUACUCGCAGAAGAAGCACCGGCUAACUCCGUGCCAGCAGCCGCGGUAAUACGGAGGGUGCAAGCGUUAAUCGGAAUUACUGGGCGUAAAGCGCACGCAGGCGGUUUGUUAAGUCAGAUGUGAAAUCCCCGCGCUUAACGUGGAACUGCAUUUGAAA